This 776-nucleotide ribosomal RNA is filed under the name uncultured Neocallimastigales. RNAcentral describes it as "partial large subunit ribosomal RNA". It matches the Rfam family "Eukaryotic large subunit ribosomal RNA", at positions 1 to 621 of the family's 3401-position model. The record is from RNAcentral. Lineage: Eukaryota; Fungi; Neocallimastigomycota; Neocallimastigomycetes; Neocallimastigales.
UUACUAGAGUAGCACUCGCAUAUCAAUAAGCGGAGGAAAAGAAACUAACAAGGAUUCCCCUAGUAACGGCGAGUGAAGCGGGAAGAGCUCAAAUUUGAAAUCUUAAAGGGUUUCCCUUUACGAAUUGUAGUUUAAAGAAGUGUUUUCUGUUGAGGUUUUGGUAAAAGUUCUUUGGAAUAGGACAUCAUAGAGGGUGAGAAUCCCGUAUUUGACCUUUACUUUCAACUUUGUGAUACACUUUCAAAGAGUCGGAUUGUUUGGGAAUGCAGUCCAAAAUGGGUGGUAAAUUUCAUCUAAAGCUAAAUAUUGGCGAGAGACCGAUAGCGAACAAGUACCGUGAGGGAAAGAUGAAAGGAACUUUGAAAAGAGAGUUAAACAGUACGUGAAAUUGUCAAAAGGGAAGCGUUUGACACCAGUGUUGUUUUUCUGAAAAUCAAUUAAAGAACUGUUUAUGCUAAGUUGUUUAGACUUUAUCAGCUAUCUGCUUAGUUUUGAGCUUUUCUUUAAUGCACUUUUCAGUUAACAAGUCAACAUCAAUUUACUUUUGCUGUAAAAAAGCUUGAGGAAGGUGGCUUGAGAUUCGUCUUAAGUGUUUAUAGCCUCUUGCCUAUGCAGUCGGGGAGAUUGAGGUCUGCAGCGUAGAUCCUUCGGGGCUAAAUGCAUUUGUGCUAAGUUAUAGCAUUUUAUAGACAACUUGUUGACUAUGAUUUGUCUUGUAGCUUACUCGCUUAUGUUAUUUUACCUACGCUUAGGAUGUUGAACUCUAUCACACACAG